GACGAACGCUGGCGGCGUGCUUAACACAUGCAAGUCGAACGGAAAGGCCCUGCUUUUGUGGGGUGCUCGAGUGGCGAACGGGUGAGUAACACGUGAGUAACCUGCCCUUGACUUUGGGAUAACUUCAGGAAACUGGGGCUAAUACCGGAUAGGAGCUCCUGCUGCAUGGUGGGGGUUGGAAAGUUUCGGCGGUUGGGGAUGGACUCGCGGCUUAUCAGCUUGUUGGUGGGGUAGUGGCUUACCAAGGCUUUGACGGGUAGCCGGCCUGAGAGGGUGACCGGCCACAUUGGGACUGAGAUGCGGCCCAGACUCCUACGGGAGGCAGCAGUGGGGAAUAUUGCACAAUGGGCGGAAGCCUGAUGCAGCAACGCCGCGUGCGGGAUGACGGCCUUCGGGUUGUAAGCCGCUUUCGCCUGUGACGAAGCGUGAGUGACGGUAAUGGGUAAAGAAGCACCGGCUAACUACGUG
This 468-nucleotide ribosomal RNA is filed under the name uncultured bacterium. Its description in RNAcentral is "partial 16S ribosomal RNA". It matches the Rfam family "Bacterial small subunit ribosomal RNA", at positions 28 to 507 of the family's 1533-position model. The record is from RNAcentral.